UUAUUAAAAACACAGAAAUGUGCAAACACGAAAGUGGACGUAUACGGUGUG
This 51-nucleotide ribosomal RNA is filed under the name Escherichia coli. Its description in RNAcentral is "partial 23S ribosomal RNA". Lineage: Bacteria; Pseudomonadati; Pseudomonadota; Gammaproteobacteria; Enterobacterales; Enterobacteriaceae. The record is from RNAcentral.